UAUAGCUAUGAACAUCGACGUAUAAGUUUUUGUGUACACUAUACACUGAGGAAUGGAACUGCUGGGUCAUCUAGUCACUAUACGUCCAGCCUUUUGAGGAAUGAGCACUGCUUUUCAUAACGGCUGUACCAUUUUACCCUCCCACGGGCAACGUAUGAAGGUGUGGAGUUCGCCAUAUUCUCCACAGCACUUAACAGAUCUGCUUGACCAGACGACAAACCCAGCACCUUCUCAGGCAGCCCUCGGAUGGCUGGUGGUGUUGAAGAAUUCCUGUGUUACAAAAUUCUGCGUUAAGAAAGGUCCUGAGAGGCCCACUGUUGGUGACUUAGCCUCUGGCCUCCUCUCUCGGGAAGGGGUAGAAGGUCUCGGGCAGGAAGAGGAGCCAGGAGGAGGGUCCAGUGAUACAACACAGGCCCGGAGAGCUGGCGAGCCUUGAGGUAGAUGUUUUCUUUCACACCUGGAAAUGGGGAAGUGCUUUUUUUUUUCUUUUUUUUUUUUUUUUCUUUUUUCAAUUCUGGAUAAUAAUCUGGGGAAGGAGAGGGGGGUGCCCCUAUAGGGGCUUGAGGUAGGAAUGCAUUUGGGGCUUUGUGGGGUGGGGGUGCUGAGGCCACAGCCCAGCUCCCUCAAGAACAUUCAUUCCGGCUGAGGUAGGUACUGAGAGCCAAAUAGCAAAAAUCCAUCCUGAGAAAACAAGGUCGGUGGAGGGUGACAGUGCCAGGGGCCCUGCCACAGCAAGGACGUGUUUUUGGAGUCUAAUUCAUCUUUCUUUCUUUCUUUCUUUUUUUUAAAGGAAAACAUUAGUUCAGUUCCAUGUCAUAUGGAUAUGAGGCAGAGGUGAGCAGGGACAUUAGUCCAAGGGAGAGGUUCCUGCAGGAACCCCUCCAGGUCCUGGGGGCGGGGGGGAAUCCCUGCUGAGGCUACUUUUAGGUCUUGACCCCCUAAGGGUGUCAGGACAGAAAUGCUGGGAAGCCCCAUCCGAGUCCCACAUGACAGGAGAAAUCUUGCCUUUGACCUGAGAAUGGGGGGUUGCCCCCUCCAGAGCCUGCCAGACACUGGCUACUGUCCCAAGCGAGCUGGCUGGGCAGCUGGUGCCAUCGGAGGCCGGGUAGCCUGUCCUUCACCGAGGCGGCCAUGGCAUACAUCCUGGGGUGGCAGGGAGGCUGCAGGGCCUGCGCUGGGGUCCUUGGCUUCUGACACCAUCUCCUCCAGAAGGCUGAAUCCCUCAAGUGGCAGCACAGAGAACUGGGUCUCCUCACACAGGGCAGGGUCCCCGGGAUCCUGCUGGAGAAAGAGCCAGUCCGACCAGCAUCAGCAUGAGGGUCAGAGCCCAAAGCCCCCAGCCAGAGGGUCAGGCCCUGCCCCCAAUCCCACUCGGGACUCUGGGCCACCCUGCCUGGUUCAGGCACUCAGAGAGCAGCACUGGCCCAAGCUCUGUACCUGGAGCUUAGUGAAGUCCAAUGACCCUGGCUUAUGAGCAAGGUGAAGGGAGGGCAGGACUGGGAGGUAGUCUGAACCUGGGAUGGGCUCACUCACCAUGGGUCUGGGGCCAGGUCUGGAGUCUGGCCGCCCUGCUGCCCCAGCUGGGGGGAACAGCUGUUCCAGUUCUUUCAAGUCCACACGCUUCUUAUCUCGGCCCAGCUGGCCCUGCUCUCCCUGGCCCGCCCCAUUCAGUGCCAGGAUGCUAGGAUCCCUUGGGCUCCGGGGGCCCUGAGGAGGGGAGAGCUGGUUUUCUACAUCCUUACACAAGAGGACCCUAAGGGGUGAGCCAAGAAUUAGGAGGAGGCUUUGGGGGGGAGCAAAAACAGAAGGCUGGACACAGUGAGCUCCAACUCUGCUUUCCCCUGCGCCAAGGCCUUCUCUGGGCUACCCCCACCCUCCUGCCUGGGACCCACCUGCCCCUUUGGCCGAACAGGAGGAAGAGGACACAGAAGAUGAUGCAGGUGACCCCGAUGUGGAUGCCGAUGACAAUGCCUGUGGUGGACGUCUGGUUACUGGGCUCCUCCUUCCGGCAGUCGCACGGUGGGCUCAGGGCUACGGGCAGGGGAAGGGAGGGAGCUGUGGCUCUCUGGCCCGAAGCCCCUGUGGACACCCAGCGUCUGGGGGCUCCUCCUUCCUCAGCUGUACCUGCCUCCAUGUCUACAUCCCCUUUGCCCUUGGGACCCCAGCCCAACCUUUUUUGGGGUCUCUUUACAAGUUACUGAGUACUAACUUUGUGCCCAAUACUGGGAAUAACACUUUUACACCAUUGAUGAAAGGACCAUUUGAUCCUUACCAUGGCUUUAUAAAGUCCCUGUUUUAUAGAGGACAAAA
This is a long non-coding RNA of Mustela lutreola (European mink), 2310 nucleotides long. RefSeq lists it as uncharacterized. The transcript is spliced from 3 exons. NCBI's taxonomy places the organism in Eukaryota, Metazoa, Chordata, Mammalia, Carnivora, Mustelidae. The record is from RefSeq and is a predicted model, not a curated record.